AUCUGGCCCCACCUCAGGUUACUACCAAGUAGUUGCUGUGGGUGGAUGAGGACUUUCUUUUCACUGAAGAAAGGAAGAUUGAGGUUCUGGUGGAUGUUCUGGAAAAAAUAGAGUUGGAUGUGGUGGCAGUGUGGCUGGGAAUUCAUUCCUGUUCAAGCUGCUGUUGGCCGAAGGUGAAGAUGGUAGCUGCAUUCACAUGCGAGUAGGAUCCUUCCAGGACUUGAAUGGCUUCCCCAAUUGUGUGAUAACAAGUGGUAUUCCAGUUUCUUCUUGGCUCACACAGAGAAGCUUCCAUGGGAUUGGUUUUGAUCCUAGGCUGCAGAGAGUAGUACAUUCAGGAUUUUUUGUUGACGGUAUGGGGAGUUUUCAAGUAGAAUCUUGUUCAGAUGUGAUGGUUCAUCACCAGCUCCAAGACCUGGCACCUGGAUCAGAGAAUUCUCCCUUGAAGAAAUCCUAUAGCUAAUUCCAGUUCAAUUCUGAGGUAGAGAUCCAGUACAAGAUGGCCCUUCACUUCUUCAAGAACCAUCUCCAUUGCUGUACUGAGGGCUGAGGGUGUAAAGAAGGAGGAAUAGGCUACAGGAAUAAAAAGAGGAAAAUACAGAGUAAAUAAGGCAAUCAGUAAGACAAACAAUAAAGAAUGGUAUAGAUAAAAACAGAGCCAGUUGGUA
This is a long non-coding RNA of Vombatus ursinus (common wombat), 668 nucleotides long. RefSeq lists it as uncharacterized. Lineage: Eukaryota; Metazoa; Chordata; Mammalia; Diprotodontia; Vombatidae. The record is from RefSeq and is a predicted model, not a curated record. The transcript has 3 exons.